AGAGUUUGAUCCUGGCUCAGAACGAACGUUGGCGGCGUGGAUUAGGCAUGCAAGUCGAACGAAUCCCGGGGGGCAACUCCCGGGGGAAGUGGCGAAAGGGGCAGUAAGGCAUGGGUAACUUGCCCCGGAGACCGGGAUAGCCACCCCAACGGGUGGGUAAUACAGGGCGUCGUAGUCGGGGGGCAUCCCCUGACUACGAAAGGAGAUUCGCUCCGGGAGAGGCUCAUGUAGUAUUAGCUAGUUGGUGAGGUAACGGCUCACCAAGGCCAAGAUGCUUAGCGGGUGUGAGAGCACGACCCGCGCCACUGGCACUGUGACACUGGCCAGACUCCUACGGGAGGCUGCAGUCGAGGAUCUUCGGCAAUGGGCGCAAGCCUGACCGAGCGACGCCGCGUGAGCGAUGAAGGCCUUCGGGUUGUAAAGCUCUGUCGGGGGGGAGAAAGGGGCAACCUUGAUCGACCCCCGGAGGAAGCACGGGCUAAGUUCGUGCCAGCAGCCGCGGUAAUAC
RNAcentral lists this ribosomal RNA (508 nucleotides) under uncultured bacterium. Its description in RNAcentral is "bacterial SSU rRNA". It matches the Rfam family "Bacterial small subunit ribosomal RNA", at positions 8 to 526 of the family's 1533-position model. The record is from RNAcentral.